AUCGUUACCCGAGCCCAGCGCCGGGCCAAUGUCCUAUCUCAGGGUUUCCCACGUCGCUCGCUCCUUGACGGCUGACCGACACUGGGUCUGAGGUGUAAGCGCUUUCCAGGCCCUUCCCUGGGGCUUGGAGGGGAAUGGCGCAAAGGACUUUUCUUACAAGCAGAGCCACUGCAGUUACCAAAGAGUAUGUCGCUUAUUGUCUAAGAGGUUGGACUCCUGAAAGCCUGGACAGUGUCAUCAUCUUCACCUGAAGAGUGGAAAAAUUCAAGCAAAGAGUUUCUCAGGAAAUGACCAAGUAAAACAUCUGGAGUAAGUCAGCAGGAUUCACAGUGACUCCCCCCAACCAGCUGGUGGUGUUUCUCUCUGAAAGCAGCGCUUGGUACCAGUGUGAACUCUCUUCCUUCAGAAGUCUCAUCAGGUGUUUCAGAUGAGUUCUCCGGAAUUUGGACCUCCUACUCUUGGGUUGAAGGUGGACGUAAUACGAGGGUCUGGUCCCCCAUACCUUGAGGACUCCGCUGCCAUCUGACAAUUACAGACAAUCCAAUUGUCCUCAUCCUUGAGGACUCUGCUGCCAUCUGACAAUUAGAGACAGUCCAAAACAUGCCACACUUUGAUCCUAAACACAUUCCUGGCUUUGGUCACUUUUGAAAAGUUCCUGAGUUAUGAGAAAUCAAUAAUAAGAGUGUUCAAAACCUGAACACUCUUUUUAGAAAUACCUGCUGGAACUACAUAUAUGAUUUAUGGGGUACUGUCUUGUAGUAUCUGGGAAAGUAGACCCAUCUAACCUGGAAUGAUCAUAGGCAACAAUGACCAAAAAUGGGGAUCUUUUGAUAUACCUAAAGUAAUUUAUUUGUGCACACCAUUGGAAAGAGCUGGUUUUAGAACCAGACAUGUAAAUAAGAGACUGACUUCCACUGGCACCUAAAAACUUCUAAAAGAAAUCCUGAAAGAAAAAGUCACCUUCAUUCAAGAGACCAUUUGGGCCUUCAUGAGUAACCAGCUGAGAAGCUGAGAUCAGAUAGAAAUGUGAGUUGUACUUUACUUGUGGCUAGUGAAACUUCCCUUUCUUUGAGCUGUCUUUGGGAUGAUUCUUGAUCUUGUGAGGACUGUGUUGCACCUCCUUUGGAGAUGCCCCAUGCAUCCUUGGUUAAGUCAUAACCUUGAUAAAGGCUUAUUGGUUUUGGUGAGUCAUUUGGAAGGGUACCUUUGUUUUUUGUUUGUUUGUUUGUUUUUUAAAGUUCAAAAGCCAGGAAUAACAGCUAUUUGUGCUGGCUAAUACUUGAUAAUGAGAGAUUUGAAAAGUUUUUAUUUUUUUUAAAUUUUACUUUAAAUUCUGCGAUACAUGUGCAGAAUGUACAGGUUUGUUACAUAGAUAUACUUGUGCCAUGGUGGUGUGCUACACUUACCAACUGUCAUCUAGGUUUUAAGCCCCACGUGCAUUAGGUAUUUGUCCUAAUGUUCUCCCUUCCCUUGGCCCCACCCCGACUGGCCCCGGUGUUUAAUGUUCUUCUUGUGUCCAUCUAUUCUCAUUGUUCAUCUCCCACUUAUUAGUGAGAACAUGUGGUGUUUGGUUUUCUGUUCCUGUGUUAAUUUGCUGAGAAUGAUGGCUUCCAGCGUCAUCCAUGUCCCUGGAAAGGACAUGAACUCUUUUUUUAUAGCUGCAUAGUAUUCCAUGGUGUUUAUGUGCCACAUUUUCUUUUUCCAGCUUGUCAUUGAUGGGCAUUUGGGUUGGUUCCAAGUCUUUGCUAUUGUAAAGUGCUGCGGCAAACACACAUGUGCAUGUGUCUUUAUACCAGAAUGAUUUAUAACCCUUUUGGUGUAUAUCCAGUAAUGGGAUUGCUGGGUCAAAUGGUGUUUCUGGUUCUAGAUGCUUGAGGAAUCACCACACUGUCUUCCACAAUGGUUGGAUUAAUUUACACUCUCACCAACAAGUGUAAAAGCAUUCCUGUUUCUCCACAGCAUUGCCAGCAUCUGUUGUUUCCUGACUUUUUAAUAAUUGCCAUUCUAACUGGUAUUAGAUAGUAUCUCACUGUGGUUUUGAGUUGCAUUUCUCUAAUGACCACUGAUGAUGAGCUAUUUUUCAUAUGUUUGUUGGCCACAUCAAUCUCUUCUUCUGGAAGUGUCUGUUCAUAUUCUUUGCCCACUUUUUGUUGGGGUUGUUUGUUUUUUUUCUUGAAAAUUUGUUUAAGUUCCUUGUAGAUUCUGGAUAUUAGACCUUUGACACAUGGGUAGAUUGCAAAAUUUUUCUCUCAUUCUGUAGGUUGCCUUUUCACUCUGGUGAUAGUUUCUUUUGCUGUGCAGAAACUCUUUAGUUUAAUUAGAUCCCAUUUGUCAAUUUUUGCUUUUGUUGCAAUUGCUUUUGGUGUUUUAGUCAUGAAGUCUUUGCCCAUGCCUAUGUCCUGAAUGGUAUUGCCUAGGUUUUCUUCUAGGGUUUUUAUGGCUUGGGGUUUUACAUUUAAGUCUUUAAUCUAUCUUGAGUUAAUUUUUGUAUAAGGUGUAAGGAGGGGGUCCAGUUUCUGUUUUCUGCAUAUGGCUAGCUAGUUUUCCCAGCACCAUUUAUUAAAUAGGGAAUUCUUUCCCCAUUGCUUGUUUUUGUCAGGUUUGUCAAAGAUCAGAUGGUUGUAGAUGUGUGGUGUUAUUUCUGAGGUCUCUGUUCUGUUCCAUUGGUCUAUGUAUCUGUUUUGGUACCAGUAUCAUGCUGUUUUGGUUACUGUAGCCUUGCAGUAUAGUUUGAGGUCAGGUAGCGUGCUGCCUCCAACUUUGUUAUUUUUGCUUAUGAUUGUCUUGGCUAUGCAGGCUCUUUCUUGGUUCCAUAUUAAAUUUAAAGUAGUUUUUUAUAAUUCUGCAAAGAAACUCAAUGGUAGCUUAAUGGGAGUAGCAUUGAAUCUAUAAAUUACUUUGGGCAGUAUGGCCAUUUUCAUGAUAUUGAUUCUUCCUAUCCAUGAGCAUGGAAUUUUUUUCCAUUUGUUUGAGUCCUCUCAUUUCCUUGAGCAGUGGUUUGUAGUUCUCCUUGAAAAGAUCCUUCACGUCCCUUGAAAAC
This 3040-nucleotide long non-coding RNA is filed under the name Homo sapiens (human). RNAcentral's name for it is "non-protein coding MKLN1-AS:16". Lineage: Eukaryota; Metazoa; Chordata; Mammalia; Primates; Hominidae. The record is from RNAcentral.